This 252-nucleotide ribosomal RNA is filed under the name uncultured bacterium. RNAcentral describes it as "partial 16S ribosomal RNA". It matches the Rfam family "Bacterial small subunit ribosomal RNA", at positions 15 to 265 of the family's 1533-position model. The record is from RNAcentral.
GAUCCUGGCUCAGGACGAACGCUGGCGGCGUGCCUAACACAUGCAAGUCGAACGGAAGUUAGAGCUUCGGUUUUAACUUUAGUGGCGAACGGGUGAGUAACGCGUGAGGAACCUGCCUUUCAGUGGGGGACAACAGUUGGAAACGACUGCUAAUACCGCAUGACACUUUUGGGAGACAUCUCCUAAAAGUCGAAGCUUUAUGUGCUGAAAGAUGGCCUCGCGUCUGAUUAGCUAGUUGGUGAGGUAACGGCU